Molecule: transfer RNA, 72 nt
Filed under: Dallia pectoralis (Alaska blackfish)
Lineage: Eukaryota; Metazoa; Chordata; Actinopteri; Esociformes; Umbridae
Description: tRNA-OTHER
Rfam family: tRNA
About the family: Transfer RNA (tRNA) molecules are approximately 80 nucleotides in length. Their secondary structure includes four short double-helical elements and three loops (D, anti-codon, and T loops).
Source: RNAcentral
GUUUCUCUAGUGUAGCGGUUAUCACGUUCGCCUCACACGCGAAAGAUCCCCGGUUCGAGACCGGCAGAAACA